This 497-nucleotide ribosomal RNA is filed under the name uncultured bacterium. RNAcentral describes it as "partial 16S ribosomal RNA". It matches the Rfam family "Bacterial small subunit ribosomal RNA", at positions 28 to 507 of the family's 1533-position model. The record is from RNAcentral.
GACGAACGCUGGCGGCCUGCCUAAUACAUGCAAGUUGAGCGCUGAAGGUUGGUACUUGUACCAACUGGAUGAGCAGCGAACGGGUGAGUAACGCGUGGGGAAUCUGCCUUUGAGCGGGGGACAACAUUUGGAAACGAAUGCUAAUACCGCAUAAAAACUUUAAACACAAGUUUUAAGUUUGAAAGAUGCAAUUGCAUCACUCAAAGAUGAUCCCGCGUUGUAUUAGCUAGUUGGUGAGGUAAAGGCUCACCAAGGCGAUGAUACAUAGCCGACCUGAGAGGGUGAUCGGCCACAUUGGGACUGAGACACGGCCCAAACUCCUACGGGAGGCAGCAGUAGGGAAUCUUCGGCAAUGGACGAAAGUCUGACCGAGCAACGCCGCGCGAGUGAAGAAGGUUUUCGGAUCGUAAAACUCUGUUGGUAGAGAAGAACGUUGGUGAGAGUGGAAAGCUCAUCAAGUGACGGUAACUACCCAGAAAGGGACGGCUAACUACGUG